UUUUUUGGUUAAUUCGGUUAAUUAACUGAUUUUGAACUGAAUUAACCGUUAACUAAAAUUCUAAAAAAUUAUUAACCGACCCUCGACCAAAUUAGUUCAGUUAACCGAUUGAUUAACCAAAUUAAUUUAGUUUGGUCAGUUAAAUCGGUAUUACCCGAAAUUUGUACACCCCUACUAAUACUCAUAUUCUAAAAUAGUUAUUACAAAACCCAAAUAUAUUAUACUAAGCCCAAACCUAAAUAAUGUACCCAUUAUUUACCCAAUGUAACACCCCAA
Molecule: long non-coding RNA, 276 nt
Filed under: Gossypium barbadense (sea-island cotton)
Lineage: Eukaryota; Viridiplantae; Streptophyta; Magnoliopsida; Malvales; Malvaceae
Description: long non-coding RNA (GBAR_LNC012304)
Source: RNAcentral